GACAGAGGGGGCAAGCGUUAAUCGGAAUUACUGGGCGUAAAGCGUGCGUAGACGGUUAUGUAAGUCGGGUGUGAAAGCCCCGGGCUCAACCUGGGAAUGCCAUUCGAGACUGCAUAGCUAGGGUGCGGAAGAGGGAAGCGGAAUUUCAGGUGUAGCGGUGAAAUGCGUAGAUAUCUGAAGGAACACCAGUGGCGAAAGCGGCUUCCUGGUCCAGCACCGACGUUCAGGCACGAAAGCGUGGGGAGCAAACAGG
RNAcentral lists this ribosomal RNA (253 nucleotides) under uncultured bacterium. RNAcentral's name for it is "partial 16S ribosomal RNA". It matches the Rfam family "Bacterial small subunit ribosomal RNA", at positions 524 to 776 of the family's 1533-position model. The record is from RNAcentral.